GACGAACGCUGGCGGCGUGCCUAAUACAUGCAAGUUGAGCGCUGAAGGUUGGUACUUGUACCGACUGGAUGAGCAGCGAACGGGUGAGUAACGCGUGGGGAAUCUGCCUUUGAGCGGGGGACAACAUUUGGAAACGAAUGCUAAUACCGCAUAAAAACUUUAAACACAAGUUUUAAGUUUGAAAGAUGCAAUUGCAUCACUCAAAGAUGAUCCCGCGUUGUAUUAGCUAGUUGGUGAGGUAAAGGCUCACCAAGGCGAUGAUACAUAGCCGAACUGAGAGGGUGAUCGGCCACAUUGGGACUGAGAAACGGCCCAAACUCCUACGGGAGGCAGCAGUAGGGAAUCGUCGGCAAUGGACGAAAGUCUGACCGAGCAACGCCGCGUGAGUGAAGAAGGUUUUCGGAUCGUAAAACUCUGUUGGUAGAGAAGAACGUUGGUGAGAGUGGAAAGCUCAUCAAGUGACGGUAACUACCCAGAAAGGGACGGCUAACUACGUGCCAGCCGCCGCGGUAA
Molecule: ribosomal RNA, 513 nt
Filed under: uncultured bacterium
Lineage: Bacteria
Description: partial 16S ribosomal RNA
Rfam family: Bacterial small subunit ribosomal RNA
Source: RNAcentral